AAAGGGGGGAAACCGCACCAAGGGAUCCCAAGGGCCUAUCCUUUUGUAUAGGCUGUUUAUGUGCCUACAAUUCACGUAGAGUAAGAGCUGGGUAAGACCGGUGCCAGCCGCCGCGGUAAUACCGGCAGCUCGAGUGGUGGUCGUUAUUAUUGGGCCUAAAGCGUCCGUAGCCGGUUGAGUAAAUCCCUGGGUAAAUCGUAUCGCUUAACGAUACGAAUUCCGGGGACACUGCUCGACUUGGGACCGGGAGAGGUUGGAGGUACUCCAGGGGUAGGGGUGAAAUCCUGUAAUCCUUGGGGGACCACCUGUGGCGAAGGCGUCCAACUAGAACGGCUCCGACGGUAAGGGACGAAGCCCUGGGGCGCGAACCGGAUUAGAUACCCGGGUAGUCCAGGGUGUAAACGCUGCGGGCUUGGUGUUGGAGGUUCUACGAGUUCUUCCAGUGCCGGAGAGAAGUUUGUUAAGCCCGCCGCCUGGGAAGUACGGUCGCAAGACUGAAACUUAAAGGAAUUGGCGGGGG
RNAcentral lists this ribosomal RNA (520 nucleotides) under uncultured archaeon. Its description in RNAcentral is "bacterial SSU rRNA". It matches the Rfam family "Archaeal small subunit ribosomal RNA", at positions 353 to 874 of the family's 1478-position model. The record is from RNAcentral.